AGUGAACGCUGGCGGUAGGCCUAACACAUGCAAGUCGAACGGCAGCACAGUAAGAGCUUGCUCUUACGGGUGGCGAGUGGCGGACGGGUGAGGAAUACAUCGGAAUCUACUUUUUCUUGGGGGAUAACGUAGGAAACUUUCCCUAAUACCGCAUAAGGCCUAAGGGGGGAAACCGGGGGACCUCCGGCCUUUCGCGGAUGCAUGGACCGAUGUCGGAUUAGCUAGUUGGCGGGGUAAAGGCCCACCAAGGCGACGAUCCGUAGCUGGUCUGAGAGGAUGAUCAGCCACACUGGAACUGAGACACGGUCCAGACUCCUACGGGAGGCAGCAGUGGGGAAUAUUGGACAAUGGGCGCAAGCCUGAUCCAGCCAUACCGCGUGGGUGAAGAAGGCCUUCGGGUUGUAAAGCCCUUUUGUUGGGAAAGAAAAGCAGCAGGUUAAUACCCCGCUGUUCUGACGGUACCCAAAGAAUAAGCACCGGCUAACUUCGUG
This 491-nucleotide ribosomal RNA is filed under the name uncultured bacterium. RNAcentral's name for it is "partial 16S ribosomal RNA". It matches the Rfam family "Bacterial small subunit ribosomal RNA", at positions 29 to 507 of the family's 1533-position model. The record is from RNAcentral.